This is a long non-coding RNA of Asterias rubens (European starfish), 2325 nucleotides long. RefSeq lists it as uncharacterized. The transcript is spliced from 8 exons. The record is from RefSeq and is a predicted model, not a curated record. NCBI's taxonomy places the organism in Eukaryota, Metazoa, Echinodermata, Asteroidea, Forcipulatida, Asteriidae.
CAACCUCCCGUUUCAAUCGACUUCUUCGAAGACGUUUUGUACUUUUGACGGACAGCUUCAUGGCUAGAAUUACGGUAAAACGGAUACUGGUUUACUGUUGAGCUAGCACUGUAGAGAAUAUCACCACAUGUACAAGGGAUUGCUGACUUGGACCAUGAAGGGUGCUCCCAGCAAUGGUUAUUUACUGGAUAAAGAGCGCAGCUAGCAUGGACAACAGCUUCCUUCAUGAGAAGAUGUUUUAAGCAAGCUCAACUUGGAUUGUCAUAUUUGGGACAGCUUUGCAUCAGUCCUUCCUUUUCUAAGGCUAUUUGCUGGUUGAAGAGCAGAAUCUACCAUGGACAAAAGCGUCCUUCAUGAGAAGAUGUUUUUAUCAAGCUCAACUUAGACAUGUUGGACUGUCAUGUUUGGGACAGCUUUGCAUCACUCCUUCCUCUUCUAAGGUUAUUCACUGGUUGAAGAACAGUAUCUAUCUGAUCAUGGACAAAAACUUUCUUCAUGAGAAGAUGUUUUUAUCAAGCUCAACUUGGAUUGUCAUAGUUGGGACAGCUUUGUAUCACUCCUUCCUAUUUUAAGGACCUUGAGUACAAUCUUCUUGAGCCAUCAUGGAGCUGACGUUACAGAACUGAGAAGACGCCGCUCAUGUUUUCAGUCUGAAGGGCAAUCUCUGCAGUAAGGGCAACCAAGUUGGACUGUUAUGCAAGAAAAAUUGGCACAAGGACCUUGGGUACAACCUUCUUCAGCCAUCAUGGAGCUGACGUUAGAGAAUGUGAAGACCAAGGAUCAAGGCAGUCAUCUUGAACAGAUUCUUCUGCUUUCACUUUAUCAUGGACAAAUUCUUCAGUCAAACUACUACUUCCUUCCUUAUGGACCUUGGGUACAAUCUUCAUCAGCCAUCAUGGAGCUGACGUUAGAGAAUGAGAAGACCAAGGAUCAAGGCAGUCAUCUUGAACAGAUUGUGCUUAUUUAAAGACUGCUUUCACUUUAUUAUGGACAAAUUCUUAACUUCAAACUACAACUUCCCUCCGCAUGGUAAUCUUCAUCUUGCCUUCAAAUCUCAUAACUUCUCUCCAUACGUCUAAAUCACUUCGCUCCAUACGUCUAACUAUACCACUUCUCUCGCCUUACGUCUAACUACCACUUCUGUCCAUACGUCUCAUUCACUUCUCUUCGUACGUCUACUACCAGGUCUAUACUAUACAUCUAACUAGCACUUCCCACCAUACGUAAAUUCUUAACUUCAAACUACAACUUCCCUCCGCAUGGUAAUCUUCAUCUUGCCUUCAAAUCUCAUAACUUCUCUCCAUACGUCUAAAUCACUUCGCUCCAUACGUCUAACUAUACCACUUCUCUCACCUUACGUCUAACUACCACUUCUGUCCAUACGUCUCAUUCACUUCUCUUCGUACGUCUACUACCAGGUCUCUACUAUACAUCUAACUAGCACUUCCCACCAUACGUCUAACCUAACUUCUCUCCACAUGUCUAACAGCUUUCUCUCCAUACCUCUAACAACUUCCCUGCAUACAUCUAACAACUUCCCUCUAUACGUCUAAUUCACUUUUCUCCAUACGUCUAACAACUUCUCUACAUGCGUCUAACAAAUUCUCUCCAUACGUCUAAUUCACUUUUUCUUCAAACGUCUACUACCACUUCUCUCUAAACGUCUAACUACAACUUCCGUUCAUACUUCUAACAACUUCCCUCCAUACAUCUAACAACUUCCCUCAAUAAGUCUUAAAACUUCUCUCCAUACUUCUAAACAACUUCUCUCUAUACGUCUAAUUCACUUUUCUUCAUACGUCUACUACCACUUCUCUCUCCACGUCUAAGUACAACUUCCCUUCUUACGUCUAACAACUUCUCUUUAAACGUCUUACUACAACUACUCUCCAUACGUCUAACAACUUCUCUCCUUACGUCUAACAACUUCUCUCCAUACGUCUAACUACAACUUUUCUCCAUACGUCUAACAACUUCUCUCAAUACGUCUAAGAACUUCCCUCCAUACGUCUAACAACUUCUCUCCAUACGUCUAACUACAACUUCCCUGCAUACGUCUAACAACUUCUCUCAAUAUGUCUAAAUGCAACUUCCCUUCAUACGUCUAACAACUUCUCUCCAUACAUCUAACUACAACUUCCCUUCAUACGUCUAACAACUUCUCUCCAUACGUCUAACAACAACUUCCCUGCAUACGCCUAACAACUUCUCUCUAAUUUUACAUUAAUGUUGCAGUUAAUUUUUAAAUUUAAACUUAAAUUUUAACAGUUGUAGUAAAGUGCAUUUUAUUGUGUUGUAUUUGAGAGUAAGAAAUAAAGAAAUAAA